RNAcentral lists this ribosomal RNA (700 nucleotides) under uncultured bacterium. Its description in RNAcentral is "bacterial SSU rRNA". It matches the Rfam family "Bacterial small subunit ribosomal RNA", at positions 94 to 828 of the family's 1533-position model. The record is from RNAcentral.
AGUGGCGGACGGGUGAGUAACGCGUAAGAAUCUAACUUCAGGACGGGGACAACAGUGGGAAACGACUGCUAAUACCCGAUGUGCCGCGAGGUGAAACCUAAUUGGCCUGAAGAAGAGCUUGCGUCUGAUUAGCUAGUUGGUGGGGUAAGAGCCUACCAAGGCGACGAUCAGUAGCUGGUCUGAGAGGAUGAGCAGCCACACUGGGACUGAGACACGGCCCAGACUCCUACGGGAGGCAGCAGUGGGGAAUUUUCCGCAAUGGGCGAAAGCCUGACGGAGCAACGCCGCGUGAGGGAGGAAGGUCUUUGGAUUGUAAACCUCUUUUCUCAAGGAAGAAGUUCUGACGGUACUUGAGGAACCAGCCUCGGCUAACUCCGUGCCAGCAGCCGCGGUAAUACGGGGGAGGCAAGCGUUAUCCGGAAUUAUUGGGCGUAAAGCGUCCGCAGGUGGUCAGCCAAGUCUGCCGUCAAAUCAGGUUGCUUAACGACCUAAAGGCGGUGGAAACUGGCAGACUAGAGAGCAGUAGGGGUAGCAGGAAUUCCCAGUGUAGCGGUGAAAUGCGUAGAGAUUGGGAAGAACAUCGGUGGCGAAAGCGUGCUACUGGGCUGUAUCUGACACUCAGGGACGAAAGCUAGGGGAGCGAAAGGGAUUAGAUACCCCUGUAGUCCUAGCCGUAAACGAUGGAUACUAGGCGUGGCUU